Equus caballus (horse) is the source of this 1810-nucleotide long non-coding RNA. Lineage: Eukaryota; Metazoa; Chordata; Mammalia; Perissodactyla; Equidae. The record is from Ensembl.
CUGCUUUUGAUUGGACAGAAUUGGUGCCGGAGUAAGGAAGGGGCGGGCCAUCAAGGACCGAGGUGGGUGGGGCUCACGGCGGGUGUGCGGAGUGGGCGGGAAAACGUGGAGCCCGGGGAGAGGCCCCGCUGGGAGUUCUAGUUAGGCUUUGACAGUUGAUGACACCGGAAACUCCGGGGAAACUAAGGCACAGAGAAGUUAGCCUGUGGCUGAGAAGAUUUGAGCUCAGGUCUGUCUGACUGGCUGGUGCCCAGCACUGCCGGGCGACAAGACAGGCAGUUUCUGCAGGCGUGGGACUCACAGUGCGGCUGGUUCCAGCUAGAGGGAUCAUGGAGGUGUCUGUGAAAGAGAAGGUCCUUGAAGGAUACAGAGCAUUUGGCUUUGGGAUAGGGUACUUUUCAGCCAGGACAUUUCAGAGCAAACCAUCAGAGAUCUGCCUGUCCACAAGAGCCAUGUUUUUUUUGCUUUCUUCCUCCACGCUCUAAAUUUCCCAGAGUCUGACCUUCGCAGGGAAGACUAUGAUUUUCCAACACUGCCUGCCACUUAGUGGAGAAGAUUAAUUUGGGGGUUCAGGAGUAGUAAGCCCACUUGUCUUUCAGACCUGAAAGUACAUCUCUAUCAGCUUCGUCAGUAUUAAAGGUGGUAUUUUGAUCUCCCUCUGCCCUACUUCUGUAGCUCUCUCUCAUUUGGUUCUAAACUUGGGUGAGGAUACUCCAAAACCCAACAAUUUCUCAUGGAUGCUGUGAUUGGACUGACUCAGCUCAACUGUUUUCUGUAUCUAUGUAAUUCUACUCAAGAUUCAGAGUCCUGGCUUGGCUUGGAUCUCAUGUUCACCUCCUGGCAAAAGUGGAGAGUACCUUGAUCCACAGUUCCCUCACGCUGCAAGGAAUGGGAAAAGUAGUUCCCCAAAAGCGAAUGAUGACAGUUUCCAAAAUAAGAAGGGAAGAGCUAUUGGGCAUGGAGAAACGACAGAUGUCCACUGCAGGGAGCUAUUGCAAAUGUCCUGGAGAAAGGUAAUGAGGGACCGGACUAUGGAGGUAGAAUUAAUGGGACCUGACAACAGACCAGAUGGGGAUAAAAAUGUCCAAGUCUUGGGGCAAGACUGUGAGUGAACUCUCCGAGAGCGGGGAGACCUUGACUGGAUCUUCUGCCGCUAGCAUGGGGCCUGGCAGCUAGUGGUCAUAAUGAAAGCUGGCAUUUGAUGGUGAAGCACCAGGCAUGGCGCUCAAUGCUUUACACAUAGUAAAUCAUUUAAUCUGCAUGACAACUUGAGGAGGUAGGUGCUAUUAUUAGUCCCAUUUUACAGAUGAAGAAAUGGAAGAACUGACAGGUUAAGUAAUUUGCCCAGGGUUAUGGCUAGUAAAUGUCAGAGCUGGGUACAGAUGCAGGUGGUCUGGCUCUCCAGCCCGUACUGUUAACCACUGUGCCUCAUUGUCUCUCGUAUGUAGUGGGCACUGAUCAAUGUUUGUUGAUUGAAAUCAUAAGGAGGGGUAGUACCAAAGUCAAAGAGUUUCAGGAAGUAUGUUAGUCAGCUUCAGCUAAGUUAUGCUGCAGUGACAUAAACCCAAAAUAUCAGCUUACAGAAAACGUUACAUGUCAGCUGCAGGUCAGCUAUGGUCCUGCUGUUUGUCGGGGAUGCUGGCUGAAGGGGCAGCCCCUGUCUAGAACAGCGUUGCUCUCAAGGGAGAAGGAAAUGAUACACAGGUGCGUGGAGUUGGCUUACACUAGUGAGAGCCAAUAGUGCACAACUCUGCCCAGCUCCACGCUCAAUGAUGUCACAUUGAUAGCUUGAAAUCAGUCACGGUGGGAG